Non-coding RNA from Bemisia tabaci, 294 nucleotides. The record is from RefSeq and is a predicted model, not a curated record. NCBI's taxonomy places the organism in Eukaryota, Metazoa, Arthropoda, Insecta, Hemiptera, Aleyrodidae.
AGAUCCGAGCGUCAGCGCGAUCUGGCAGAAGCACUUUUGAGUUAUUUAGAGGAGCUACUUUCAGAAUAUGUCCCAUAGAUACCGCUAGUAGUGAGAGGUACUUUUUACGAAACCGCGUCGUUUUAGGUUUGAAUUUUCCAACGAAUUGCCCGUCGCUAUUGCACUAAGCCAUUGCAUUGCCUUUGCCGCACGCUAUUUCCACGUUGAUUUCCACCUAUUUCUGAUUUCCCGAGUGUAUUUAGUUUCCUGAAAUCGAGUGCUCUUAUCUUUUCUUCAAGAUGAAUCCUCAAUUUG